This 497-nucleotide ribosomal RNA is filed under the name uncultured bacterium. Its description in RNAcentral is "partial 16S ribosomal RNA". It matches the Rfam family "Bacterial small subunit ribosomal RNA", at positions 28 to 507 of the family's 1533-position model. The record is from RNAcentral.
GAUGAACGCUGGCGGCGUGCCUAAUACAAGCAAGUCGGGCGAACAGAUGAGGAGCUUGCUCCUCUGACGUUAGCGGCGGACGGGUGAGUAACACGUGGAUAACCUACCUAUAAGACUGGGAUAACUUCGGGAAACCGGAGCUAAUACCGGAUAAUAUAUUGAACCGCAUGGUUCAAUAGUGAAAGACGGUUUUGCUGUCACUUAUAGAUGGAUCCGCGCCGCAUUAGCUAGUUGGUAAGGUAACGGCUUACCAAGGCAACGAUGCGUAGCCGACCUGAGAGGGUGAUCGGCCACACUGGAACUGAGACACGGUCCAGACUCCUACGGGAGGCAGCAGUAGGGAAUCUUCCGCAAUGGGCGAAAGCCUGACGGAGCAACGCCGCGUGAGUGAUGAAGGUCUUCGGAUCGUAAAACUCUGUUAUUAGGGAAGAACAAAUGUGUAAGUAACUAUGCACGUCUUGACGGUACCUAAUCAGAAAGCCACGGCUAACUACGUG